UGGAUCACCUCCUAACAGGGAGACUAACUGAUUGUGAUGUCUGAGCGCUGAACAAAGAAGCCACAAGUAAUUGUAGUGACUGGAAGCAGCACAUUUUGUCUCAGGCCACGAUCCUGUCAUCUCGAAGGUCGAUCGGUACCUCAAGAGAGAGGUUGGAAAGCUGAGCAUCGCGAGAUGAUCAGGUUGUCCAGCUUAACUUUUCAGUUCCUAAACUUUGUCUAGGUCACCCCACAGAGCCCAUCUGGGCCAUUAGCUCAGGUGGUUAGAGCGCACCCCUGAUAAGGGUGAGGUCCCUGGUUCAAGUCCAGGAUGGCCCAUUCACCGCCUGCAACGCAGGCAGGACUUGAUGGCUGGGGGUUUAGCUCAGUUGGUAGAGCGCCUGCUUUGCAAGCAGGAUGUCAGCGGUUCGAGUCCGCUAACCUCCAUCCAACAGACGCUCACCAGCGAAGGGAAAUCUUUGUGGGAGACCAAAUUGCCGGAAGUUAGCAGCCGGCCUAGCGGAGCAAAGACUCCAGCCUCCUUUCAUGCCCAAGCAGCCACGCUGUUGGUAAAGGGUUGAAAGGAAGCUGGACUCGUCAAGGCUAACCAGUGCGCAAGCGGUGGUUGGCGUUGAGAUGUUCAGCCAAGAACCUUGACAACUGCAUAGGUAAGUCUGGAAAUUAAGCAUCUCAUGGAUACUUGAUUCUAAAAGUCAACGUUUGCGAGCAGCGAAAGCUGAGCGUGAUGGUUUGGUGGAUGGAAUCAAGAAAAUUCUUGAGUUUAGAGCCGAGAGCUUCCAGCAGCUUCUUUUGCCGCCGAGGCGAAAGGAGUUUGAUGGUGUGAUUGAACCACUCCAGUAUGAGUGCUGUAGCGGGAGACCGAGACAGUUACCAAGAAUGGGGCAGGCAAUUGCGGCAGAAUAGCCUUCAACAAGCUGACUGCUGGGAGAUUUAAUGGUCAAGCUACAAAGGGCUCACGGCGGAUACCUUGGCACACAGAGGCGAUGAAGG
Molecule: transfer RNA, 989 nt
Filed under: uncultured cyanobacterium
Lineage: Bacteria; Bacillati; Cyanobacteriota
Description: partial contains 16S ribosomal RNA and 16S-23S ribosomal RNA intergenic spacer
Rfam family: tRNA (bases 353-425)
Source: RNAcentral